RNAcentral lists this ribosomal RNA (253 nucleotides) under uncultured bacterium. RNAcentral's name for it is "partial 16S ribosomal RNA". It matches the Rfam family "Bacterial small subunit ribosomal RNA", at positions 524 to 776 of the family's 1533-position model. The record is from RNAcentral.
UACGGAGGGUGCAAGCGUUAUCCGGAUUCACUGGGUUUAAAGGGUGCGUAGGUGGGCAGUUAAGUCAGUGGUGAAAUCUCCGGGCUCAACCCGGAAACUGCCAUUGAUACUAUCGGUCUUGAAUAUCGUGGAGGUAAGCGGAAUAUGUCAUGUAGCGGUGAAAUGCUUAGAUAUGACAUAGAACACCAAUUGCGAAGGCAGCUUACUACCCGAAUAUUGACACUGAGGCACGAAAGCGUGGGGAUCAAACAGG